Molecule: ribosomal RNA, 468 nt
Filed under: uncultured bacterium
Lineage: Bacteria
Description: partial 16S ribosomal RNA
Rfam family: Bacterial small subunit ribosomal RNA
Source: RNAcentral
GACGAACGCUGGCGGCGUGCUUAACACAUGCAAGUCGAACGGAAAGGCCCUGCUCUUGUGGGGCGCUCGAGUGGCGAACGGGUGAGUAACACGUGAGUAACCUGUCCUUGUCUUUGGGAUAACUUCAGGAAACUGGGGCUCAUACCGGAUAGGAGCUCCUGCUGCAUGGUGGGGGUUGGAAAGUUUCGGCGGUUGGGGAUGGACUCGCGGCUUAUCAGCUUGUUGGUGGGGUAGUGGCUUACCAAGGCUUUGACGGGUAGCCGGCCUGAGAGGGUGACCGGCCACAUGGGGACUGAGAGACGGCCCAGACGCCUACGGGAGGCAGCAGUGGGGAAUAUUGCACAAUGGGCGGAAGCCUGAUGCAGCAACGCCGCGUGCGGGAUGACGGCCUUCGGGUUGUAAACCGCUUUCGCCUGUGACGAAGCGUGAGUGACGGUAAUGGGUAAAGAAGCACCGGCUAACUACGUG